AUUGAACGCUGGCGGCAGGCCUAACACAUGCAAGUCGAACGGUAGCACAGAGAGCUUGCUCUCGGGUGACGAGUGGCGGACGGGUGAGUAACGUCUGGGAAACUGCCCGAUGGAGGGGGAUAACUACUGGAAACGGUAGCUAAUACCGCAUAACGUCGCAAGACCAAAGUGGGGGACCUUCGGGCCUCACACCAUCGGAUGUGCCCAGAUGGGAUUAGCUAGUAGGUGGGGUAAUGGCUCACCUAGGCGACGAUCCCUAGCUGGUCUGAGAGGAUGACCAGACACACGGGAACUGAGACACGGUCCAGACUCCGACGGGAGGCAGCAGUGGAGAAUAUUGCACAAUGGGCGCAAGCCUGAUGCAGCCAUGCCGCGUGUAUGAAGAAGGCCUUCGGGUUGUAAAGUACUUUCAGCGGGGAGGAAGGCGGUGAAGUUAAUAACUUCACCGAUUGACGUUACCCGCAGAAGAAGCACCGGCUAACUCCGUGCCAGCCGCCGCAGUAA
Molecule: ribosomal RNA, 504 nt
Filed under: uncultured bacterium
Lineage: Bacteria
Description: partial 16S ribosomal RNA
Rfam family: Bacterial small subunit ribosomal RNA
Source: RNAcentral